CCUACGGGGUGCAGCAGUGGGGAAUAUUGCGCAAUGGGCGAAAGCCUGACGCAGCGACGCCGCGUGAGGGAUGAAGGUCUUCGGAUCGUAAACCUCUGUCAGCAGGGAAGAACGGUCACUGUGCUAAUCAGCAGUGAAUUGACGGUACCUGACCAAGAAGCCCCGGCUAACUACGGGCCAGCAGCCGCGGUAAUACGUAGGGGGCAAGCGUUAUCCGGAUGUACUGGGUGUAAAGGGAGCGUAGACGGCAAGGCAAGUCUGGAGUGAAAGCCCGUGGCUCAACCACGGGACUGCUUUGGAAACUGUGUUGCUGGAGUGCAGGGAGGGUAGGCGGAAUUCCUGGUGUAGCGGUGAAAUGCGUAGAUAUUAGGAGGAACACCGGUGGCGAAGGCGGCUUACUGGACUGUAACUGACGUUGAGGCUCGAAGGCGUGGGGAGCGAACAGGAUUAGAUACCCGGGUAGUC
RNAcentral lists this ribosomal RNA (465 nucleotides) under uncultured bacterium. Its description in RNAcentral is "partial 16S ribosomal RNA". It matches the Rfam family "Bacterial small subunit ribosomal RNA", at positions 338 to 795 of the family's 1533-position model. The record is from RNAcentral.